CCCUCACAGAGCUGCCGCCGCUAGCAGCUUACCACUUCCGGGAGGCAGGCCUGGCUAAUUAGGGGGCCAGGGCAGUAUGGGAUACUAUCCUGCAGGUGCCCAAAGCCCGCAUCGCCCUCACAGAGCUGCCGCCGCUAGCAGCUUACCACUUCCGGGGGGCAGGCCUGGCUAAUUAGGGGGCCAGGGCAGUAUGGGAUACUAUCCUGCAGGUGCCCAAAGCCCACAUCGCCCUCACAGAGCUGCCGCCGCUAGCAGCUUACCACUUCCGGGAGGCAGGCCUGGUUAAUUAGGGGGCCAGGGCAGUAUGAGAUACUAUCCUGCAGGUGCCCAAAGCCCGCAUCGCCCUCACAGAGCUGCCGCCGCUAGCAGCUUACCACUUCCGGGAGGCAGGCCUGGCUAAUUAGGGGGCCGGGGCAGUAUGGGAUACUAUCCUGCAGGUGCCCAAAGCCCGCAUCGCCCUCACAGAGCUGCCGCCGCUAGCAGCUUACCACUUCCGGGAGGCAGGCCUGGCUAAUUAGGGGGCCGGGGCAGUAUGGGAUACUAUCCUGCAGGUGCCCAAAGCCCGCAUCGCCCUCACAGAGCUGCCGCCGCUAGCAGCUUACCACUUCCGGGAGGCAGGCCUGGCUAAUUAGGGGGCCGGGGCAGUAUGGGAUACUAUCCUGCAGGUGCCCAAAGCCCACAUCGCCUCACAGAGCUGCCGCCGCUAGCAGCUUACCACUUCCGGGAGGCAGGCCUGGCUAAUUAGGGGGCCGGGGCAGUAUGGGAUACUAUCCUGCAGGUGCCCAAAGCCCACAUCGCCUCACAGAGCUGCCGCCGCUAGCAGCUUACCACUUCCGGGAGGCAGGCCUGGCUAAUUAGGGGGCCAGGGCAGUAUGGGAUACUAUCCUGCGGGUCCCGAUGGCUCUAAAAGGGGCAGCACCUACUCUUACGGUGCCAACUCUGGAGGCAAUAGUUGAUGUCCCAGCACAACA
Long non-coding RNA from Brienomyrus brachyistius, 971 nucleotides. RefSeq lists it as uncharacterized. Lineage: Eukaryota; Metazoa; Chordata; Actinopteri; Osteoglossiformes; Mormyridae. The transcript has 3 exons. The record is from RefSeq and is a predicted model, not a curated record.